ACAUAGAGACUCUCUCUCUCUCUCUACCAAUGGCAACGCUUCAAGGGACCACAGCUGCUGGGCACAGAAACCAAAAAAGGCAACAGGCCCCACCCAACAGCUUGAACAUCAACUGACCUUAUGAUGAAGAAGGGGAUCAUUUGGAUAAAUGUGUUUUAUGAAGAAAAAAAAAACAGAUUAAGUCAUGUCAAGAUAUGUGUUUGCAUACUGCAUAGAUACACUCACAGGAAUAACUGAAAUGGUGUGUUUGAGAUGGGAUGCUAUUGAAUAUGUUGCUACAUUCCACUAGUAGGCUUUUGGAAAUGCGAAUCUGAGCUAGUGAUAAAGGCAGAUAUAUACUCAGCACAAUGACAGUACAUAUCUUCACACUGUAAAUAUACCUUCCCUGUCCUGCAAAUAAAAUAAAUCUUCAGAUGUAUUAGAUAACACACCGGUGAUGAUAAAAGAGCAGUGCUCCUUAUAAUAAAUUGCUUAGCUGAUGAACACGGAUGGCUAAAUGACUGUAGGCCAAUUGUGAGAGCUUGUGUGAUCUUUAGGACCUUCCAGUCACCCUGUUGUGUCGCAGCAAAGCUCAUGUUUACAAAGAACAAGAGGCAAUAUCCUUUAAACCUCAAAAGUAGAAGGAUGGGUCAGCAAUCAAGACAGGUCAACAAGGGCACCAUGUUUAAACAAAAUACUCCCCCCUCUUAUCCACACAUUAACUCACACAGACACUCACAAAGGCAUGGGAAGCCAGUCUGCUUUGUAUAACCUUGGGAGAUCAGAAUACAAAAAUACAAAAUAUCAACAACUCCCGUGUUGGGCAGUAGCAAACUACAAAUAAUAAACCAGUAAUUGGUGUGUAA
This is a long non-coding RNA of Clupea harengus (Atlantic herring), 845 nucleotides long. RefSeq lists it as uncharacterized. The transcript is spliced from 2 exons. The record is from RefSeq and is a predicted model, not a curated record. NCBI's taxonomy places the organism in Eukaryota, Metazoa, Chordata, Actinopteri, Clupeiformes, Clupeidae.